This is a long non-coding RNA of Dermochelys coriacea (leatherback sea turtle), 1883 nucleotides long. RefSeq lists it as uncharacterized. Lineage: Eukaryota; Metazoa; Chordata; Testudines; Dermochelyidae. The record is from RefSeq and is a predicted model, not a curated record. The transcript is spliced from 3 exons.
CUUGUGCGCAUUUCCUCAAUAAGCCAUUAACAUUGUUUGACCUUUUUACUGCUGUACCUGAAAGGCUGCUUAUGGGUGUUUUCAAUCUCACAAUACGUUUCAGUAACAGACAUAGCCAAAUUUCAUAACUUCACAUACGACAAUAGCACAUGCAAUCCAACGAGAUAUUAAUGUCCAGCAGAUCAAGACUUUUAGAAGGAUACCUCACAAGGCAUACUUUGUACAAAACAUAUCCUAAUUACAUGACAGUGGUGAAUACUGGUUUGCCAGGGUGUCACAGUAAGAACCUCUUUUUUUUUUUGUAUUCACAGACUACCCACCGAUUCAUUUGUUCUCGUACACAGCAUUUAACAUGUCCUCCAAAGGAUGGCUCUUGCAGCAGUACAAUGGCCCUUAAUAUCAUGCUGGCAGGAGCAUAGGUUCAGUGCUGGCCAAGUGACAUCACAACACCAAUCCUUCUAUACCUGGGGUUUUUUCGAGGCUACACAGGAAUUACAAAGUUGACCUAUUAUGUUUGCAUGUUUGAGUGAUUUUUUUUUUUUUUUAAACUUUGCAGCCUGUUUCCAAGAUCCAGCCUUUAUUUGGCAAAAUUUAAGUCUGAAACCCUUUGGGAUCGCUAGUUAAAGAUUGUGGCAGUGAGGUUCCUUACAGCAAGAAUUCUAUGUUCUUGUUCAACGUGCACUCAAUCACCUGUGAUAAAUUAUUUCCCACUGUCUGGAACACAGCUGCAUUCAAGCAAACAAUAUUUACCAUCUUCGUAUCAUUGUAUACAAUCUAACUUCUGGGGAAUUUUUACUCCCUCAAAAAAGGAGAGCUCUCCAUUAUACAGACUUUUCUAUAUGCUCUUUGGGCUGGAUUCACCCCUCCUGGUACAGGCAGGAGCCAUUUGCAGGGCCUUGUCCUAGUGAGACCUCUUGCAUAACAGGGAGGAAUUAUCCCUAAGGAGGGCAGCCAUCUUUAACUCUUCUUGGGACUUCAUAGGAGCUGGCACAGAUUGCUCAGGAAUGUGCUCAAUCAAUACAUAUACAUAUCAAUACAUGUCUCCGCCCAGACCUCUUUCCCCUCAUCUCACAGGUUUGAUAAGCUCUGUGGUUUCUAAUGAUGCCUCUGCAGAGGCUUGGAAGCCAGAAGAUGGAACUCAAGUGCAACUUUUCAGAAGAAGAUCUGAUAGAGAAGCCUCUGCAUAGUGCAGAAAAAUAUGCACUGUGCUUAGCAAGACAAACAAAGCUCUAUGCCUAUGCUGGAAAGAUUGUGCUUCAGUUCCUUCCAUAUCAAGAAGUUACAAGGACAGCGGUUUCCGACAACUAACCCAACAAACUCAGCUUGCCACCAGAAACUCAGACAAUCAGGCAUUCCAUAUGCUAAGAAGAGAAGGGAGAUGCAUUUCAGAGCUCACUUCAACUACUCUGCCUUAGAGGGCUGACAUCAACAUACACUGAAGAGUACAACAGCACACUGGCUUAUGUGUGACAUUUCAUAUUAGAGUUUAUUAUGACUGUCUAGUUCAAGGGAUACCACUUAUUUAUCCUCGACUUUCAGCUCCAGGGUUUGAUGUGAAAGGAAGCAAUUUCUCUAUUAAAAAAAUAUAGGGGACCAUCAGCCAGUGGCCUUGCCAUAAAUAAACCCCUUUAUAGCUGAGUAUUUUAUACACCAUUAAAGACACAAUGGGAGGGAAUAAAACAAGCACACUACAUGGCAUCACACACAGAAGUAUAGUCCCAUAAAGACUAGGGCUUGGAGGGGGCGUGUGCGUGUGUGUGCUCUGAUAAUUUUCAAAUUAUUCAUGCAUGCUCCAUCUGAGAUUGUGGUCCAAGCACUGUAUUACAUUUUCAAAAUGUAUGUAGACUUGCCUGAUUCAGCAGGAAGUUUCCAAGAAAAUUAAA